CCCGCCUGCGUUUCGGUGAGUACUGGAGUGUGCGAACCUCUGGGAAACUCGAUUCGCCGCCUGCC
RNAcentral lists this ribosomal RNA (65 nucleotides) under Halomicrobium zhouii. The record is from RNAcentral. Lineage: Archaea; Methanobacteriati; Methanobacteriota; Halobacteria; Halobacteriales; Haloarculaceae.